CAACAACAUUGUAAGCAGGAGUAACAUUUUGAACUGUUUGUCGACGCUCUUUGAUUGCAAAAAUGAUGAAACUACUCUGUUUGGUUUUAUUGGUUUGUGUAUUGGCCUAUGAAAUUGAAGGCUGGAGAACUCGUCGUUGGCGAGUCCGCAAAAUUGUCAGAGUGCCGCGCGUACGGAGAGUAGUACCACGUAUUCGUUUGCGUCGUUUCAGGGUGCGACGUUUACGACCGCGUUUGAGAUUCCGACGAAGAUUUCGUGUGCGGCGUUUGGUGCCGGGUAUACGACUGCGGAGGUUAGGCCUGCCGAGUAUCAGAAGGAUCGGUUCGUGUUUGAAACCUGCCCUUCAAAUAUACAAAAAACUGCAGAAAACGUUCUAUGGUGCUUACAAGAGGGUUUGCGGUGAUCGAAAGAGGCACAGCUGCGGUUUCAAGUUGUAUACACGAGCGAGAUCCGUCUGCAGUGGCCUAUCGUGCUUCAAGCGAAAUUUUGGUUCGCGGUUUGGCAUCGGGAAAAGAUCUAUCGAGUUCGACGCAGGAAUGGCAGACUCCGAAAAAACUAAUAG
This 562-nucleotide unclassified non-coding RNA is filed under the name Dendronephthya gigantea. Its description in RNAcentral is "uncharacterized LOC114541882, transcript variant X1". The record is from RNAcentral. Lineage: Eukaryota; Metazoa; Cnidaria; Anthozoa; Malacalcyonacea; Nephtheidae.